GGGGAGCCGUCUACAUUUAAGAACCGUGCAGGUCACGUGCUGGCACAGCGUUUAGGCGCAGAAAAGAUGCGAGCAGCACCGGUACCACUGCCCGUUUUGAGAGAUCAAGCAAGGCUCAUUUCGAAGAGGACAGCUUCGAGCAAAGCAGAGCAGGCGGAUGGAAAAAACUAAAGUCAAAUGCGGUGCCGACAGUGUUUUCCUUCAGACCUUUGCCUUCUCACAAAGAGGCACCGGACCCGCUGUCCUCUCAGCCCUACCUGAUGAUUAACAUGACAUAGCCACUGAUGAUCAUGAAGCAGCGAUGGACCCAAUGUCGUCACCAGGCAGGUUUGAGCAGACUCAAGGACAGAAUUGCAGCCCACAAGACGCCUGCUCAAGGGCACUGACUGGUAGCAGACGAAGCAGGUCUGCAAGUCUCAGCCAAAUGAAUGCUGGGGUUUCUGACCUGCAGUCUACUUGUACCUCUUGAACAUAAUUAAGUAAGCAGCUCGCAGACCUGACACAGAAAUACUGCGAACUUCAAUAAUUGCACACCCAGCCAAUCUCCACAAUCCAAUGUCUCCGAAAAAAGUUAAAAAGCUCGAAGGUAACAUCGAAACAUUCGGAAAGAACAUCAACUUCCUUAACGAAGACCAAAUACAGGCACAGUAGAGCAACAGCACCAAAGGGAGUACUUGGUCUCCACAAAGUGUAA
Dermacentor albipictus is the source of this 694-nucleotide long non-coding RNA. RefSeq lists it as uncharacterized. Lineage: Eukaryota; Metazoa; Arthropoda; Arachnida; Ixodida; Ixodidae. The record is from RefSeq and is a predicted model, not a curated record.